UUACCGAGUUAUUCAACUCAUCAACCCUGUGAACAUACCUAAACGUUGCUUCGGCGGGAAUAGACGGCCCUGUAAAACGGGCCGCCCCCGCCAGAGGACCCUUAACUCUGUUUCUAUAAUGUUUCUUCUGAGUAAAACAAGCAAAUAAAUUAAAACUUUCAACAACGGAUCUCUUGGCUCUGGCAUCGAUGAAGAACGCAGCGAAAUGCGAUAAGUAAUGUGAAUUGCAGAAUUCAGUGAAUCAUCGAAUCUUUGAACGCACAUUGCGCCCGCCAGUAUUCUGGCGGGCAUGCCUGUUCGAGCGUCAUUACAACCCUCAGGCCCCCGGGCCUGGCGUUGGGGAUCGGCGGAGCCCCCCGUGGGCACACGCCGUCCCCCAAAUACAGUGGCGGUCCCGCCGCAGCUUCCAUCGCGUAGUAGCUAACACCUCGCGACUGGAGAGCGGCGCGGCCACGCCGUAAAACACCCAACUCUUCUGAAGUUGACCUCGAAUCAGGUAGGAAUACCCGCUGAACUUAAGCAUAUCAAUAA
RNAcentral lists this ribosomal RNA (531 nucleotides) under Fusarium solani. Its description in RNAcentral is "eukaryotic LSU rRNA". The stretch from base 154 to 307 matches the Rfam family "5.8S ribosomal RNA". Lineage: Eukaryota; Fungi; Ascomycota; Sordariomycetes; Hypocreales; Nectriaceae. The record is from RNAcentral.